This 10881-nucleotide long non-coding RNA is filed under the name Gossypium raimondii (Peruvian cotton). RNAcentral's name for it is "long non-coding RNA (GRAI_LNC009591)". Lineage: Eukaryota; Viridiplantae; Streptophyta; Magnoliopsida; Malvales; Malvaceae. The record is from RNAcentral.
CGAGAACAGCUCCAUUGAUUUCAAAGGUCAAGAUUUUCAGUUCAUCCCAUUUGGUUUCGGAAGAAGGAGAUGUCCUGGGAUGCCAUUUGGAGUUGCUGCUAUUGAGUAUGUGAUGGCCAACCUUCUCUAUUGGUUUGAUUGGAAGUUACCUGCUGGUGAAAUUGCUGAGAACUUGGACAUGACUGAACUCUUCGGCCUCACAGUCACCAAGAAAACCCCUCUUCAUGUUCUACCUCUGUCUCAUUUCUCUUUUUAAAUAUAUAUAUAUACGUGUGUGUGUGCGCACGCGCGCAAGCGAGCGAUGAUUUUAGGCUUUUAUCACUUUCUUUCUUUGGAGAAGAUAAUAUUACUAUCGUUGGUACUUGUUGUUUUACUGAUAUUGGUCAAGAAAUUCAUUUCGUGCAAGUAAUCAAUACAAUAAUACAAGUAAAAUUAUACAAAUUUGUACGAUGUGAAAUGAAAGAUAAAACUUUUGUGUUGAACUAAAAGGAGUUGCAAACACAAGCUAAACCGCAUAAGAAGUGCUUAUGGAAGUAGGCACUUCUUCAACCACUAUGAAACAAAUAAUAAAAUUGGGAACUGUAAUAAUUAACGUUGAUAAUGGAAAUAUGAAUUAUUACAAAGCAAUAAAAAAGAAAAAUUAGAACACAUAAAUUUUACGUGGAAACCCCUUAUUAGAAAAAUCACAAGUAGAAAAAUAGAAAUUCACUAAUGUUGAAAAACAACAAUACAAGAGGAGUUCAACUACACCUAUUUUAAGGGUUAAACAACCCUAUUAUAAUUAAUGUCUAAUAGGAGAAGUACACUCCUAUACGGAUUUGAUUUGUGAGGGAUGGUCUAUCCCCACAGAUCUCCCUAUUUUGUUCUUUAUUUUAUUUCUUUAACAGGUGAUGGAUUCGGGUUACACAACUCUAACAACAUUCACCUUGACACGAAUUCUCGACGAAUAAGUUCUCCACCUCUUCCACGAAACCCAUUAAGGGUUAUUCUUCAAUAAUGAACACCGACCAAGUCCAAGUAAUGCUCAAACUUGGCUAUAGGAAGUGACUUAGUCAUCAUAUCUACAUGAUUAUCAUGAGUACUAACUUUGCUCACAAUAAUAUCACCACAAGCAAUAAUAUCACGCACAAAAAGUUACCGAACAUCAAUGUGUUUUGUCCUCUUAUGAAACAUUUGAUCUUUCGUAAGGAAUAUGACACUCUGACUAUCUCAAAACAUUGUACUGAUCUGAAGGUCUUUACUGAGUUCACCAAAUAGUCCCUCUAACCAAAUAACUUCUUUACAAACAUUAGUAAUCGUCAUGUACUCAACUUUAGUAGUAAACAAUGCAAUUGUAGUCUACAAAGUGGCUUUCCAACUGAUGGCGCAAUUCUCAAUAGUAAAGAUGUACCCUAUGAGAGAUAUUCUCUUAUCAAGGUCUCCAACAAAAUCAGAAUCAAUGUACCCAAUGACUCUAUCUCUAGUUCUUCCAAACUAUAAGCAAAAAUCAGUAGUACCUCGUAAGUAUCUAAAAAUCCAUUGAACUUCUUUCCAGUGUUCCUUACCGGGAUUCGUCAUGUAUCUACUAACUGCACUAACUACAUAUGAUAAAUCCAGACAUCAACAAACUAUAGCAUACAUGAGAGAUCCCACUGCUCUAGAAUAUGGGACUUGUGACAUGUAGUAAAUCUCAUCAUCUGAUUGUAGAGACAAAGCUGAUGAAAGUCUGAUGUGGGCUACUAAUGGAGUCCUAACGGGCUUAGUACUCUACAUAUUCAACUUGCAAAAAACUUUCUCAAUGUACCCUUUCUGAAUUUGGUACAAUUUACAUGCUUUUCUAUCUCUAAGAAACUCCAUCUCAGGUAUUUUCUUUACUGCUCCCAUUUAUCUCCCAUUUAUCUUUGGUUGAUAUCAACAUGUCAACAUAAAAGAGUAGAUAUACAGAUGAACCAUCACUACUCUUCUUAAAAUAAAAACAAUUGCCAAAACUGGUUAUUGUGAAAUCAUUAGUAGUCAUAAAUGAAUCAAAUCUCUGGUACCACUGCCUAGGUGGCUAUUUCAGGCCAUAAAAAGACUUUUUCAGUAGACAAACAUAGUCAUCCUUUCCUAAGACUAUGAAGCCCUUUGAUUGUUGCAUGUAAAUAUCCUCCUCAAGUUCUCUAUGCAAGAAUGUUGUUUUCACAUCUAACUGCUCAAGCUCCAAAUCUUACACGGACAUAAUAUCGAACUAGGCUUGAAUUGAACUAUGUUUAACAACUAGAGAAAACAGAUCUAUGAAAUCUACACCUGGAAGUUAACUGUAACCUUUUGUAACCAGUCUGGCUUUAUACCUAGAUUCUUCAACUCUUAGAGUCCCUUUUUCUUUCUGAACACCCAUUUACAACUAACAGCCCUUUUACCCUUAGGAAACUUCACUAGGUUCCAUGUACUAUUCUUAUGAUGUGAUUUCAUCUCUUAUUACAUGAAAAUCAUCCACUUGCUUGAAUUUUCACAACUAACUUCCUUGAAACAAGUAGACGGCUCUUGAUUUACAUCUAUAUCUUCAGCAACAUUUAAAGCAUAAGCAACUAAAUUAACCUCACCGAACCUCUUUAGAGGUUUAAUUUCUCUUUUAGAUCUAUUCUUGGCAAUAAAAUAUUGUAGUUCUGACUGUGGUGAAGAAACAAAUCUAUUCUGAGUUUUUGUACUAACCUGAGGAGUAGACUCUGUUGUAGAUCCUGGAUCAAUCUGAAGCUCCACCAAUUUCACACGUGUGUUUAAUCUCUGCUGGUCUUUACCAGAAGAUUCUUUAAGAGGUAAUUUAUGCAACAUAACAGUCUCAUAAAAAUAACAUCUUUGCUAAUUACAACUUUCCUAAUUGUAGGACACCAUAGUUUAUAUCCUUUAACGCCAGCCUUAUAUCCAAGAAAAACACACUUAAUAGAUCUAGGCUCCAAUUUACCAUUAUCAACUUACGCAUACACGGGACACCCAAAAAUCUUCAAAUUAGAAUAAUUAGCAGGAGUAUCAAACCAUACCUUUUGUGGAGUCUUUUUCUCAAUGGCAAUGGAUGGAGAUCAGUUAAUUAGAAAACAUGUUGUACAGGUCGCUUCAGCCCAAAAUGACUUCGGUAAUCACCUGUGAUGGAUUAGAUCGAUAUCUUUACAACAUUGAUACAUGAAAGACAUUAUGGAUCCUAUCCAACUUUAGCAGUAAGGCUAGCCGGUAAGUUACUAGACCAACACACUCCAAAAUCUCAAAUGGUCUUAUAAACUUCGAACUCAACUUUCCCUUCUUUCUAAAUCGAAUAACCUUUUUUUACGGACAAACUUUCAAGAAUAUUCCCCCUACAUUAUAUUCACUAUCUUUCCUCUUAUGAUCAACAUAGGGUUUCUAUCUAUCAAAUGUUGCUUUCAAUCGAUAUCUAAACAGCUUUUCUUUUUAUUUUGUUUCUCUGAUCAAAUCUGUUCCUACUAGCUUGUUUUUGUUCAUAUCUAUCUAUCAAACAGGAGUUCUACACUUCCUUCUAUAUAACGCUUCAUAUGGUGUCAUUUUAAUACAAUAUUGAUAUCUAUUAUUAUAAGCAAACUCAACCAAUGGCAAAUAUCUUUCUCAACUUCCUUCAAAUUCAAUGAUGCAACUUCUCAACAUCUCUUCCAAAAUUUGACUUACCCGCUUUGAUUGUCUGUAACACCCCGUACCCACCCUAAAUGUUAUGAUCAAAUCAUGUAGGUUACAUAAAAAUUUUCUAAACCUAACCUAUAUUGAAAUCCAAAAUUUUAUAGAAACUUACUUUAUUCCUUUGGUAAGAAAAGUUGCCAACCAAAAUGCAUACGUGAAGGUUUUAAUUGUUAUAUUAUAAAACUCAUUUUACUUAAAAUAUCGUGUUGUCAACCUUAUUUACUUGCUUUUUAAAAAUGCGUAUUCCCGAUUAAAAACUUUACAGCAGAAAAAAAAAUUCUUAAGCUUAUUGAAUAUUUUAAAAUUGAAUGCUUAAUUUUUUAUUAUUAUCAGAAAUCAUGCCAAAUUUUUAGUAGCUAACUAAAUACUUCGCAAAUUCCAAAACAACAAUUAAAGUCUGUAAAACGGUCCAACAAUCCCAAGAGUCCAUAAUUUUAAAAUAAACAUUACUAAUAAGUUUUAUAUGAGAUAACCAAUCUGAGCUCCCGAGCGCCACCAAAUCCUAAAUCUGAGAGUUACCUGAAAAGUUUAAGCAAAUGGGCUGAACUAUAAAACUCAGUGUAUGCCUUAGCCCACAAGCAAAAUCACAUAGUAGAAUCAUGCAUAGAUGCAUAUAUCAGAAUAGAGAGACCAAAAUUUAUAACAUGCUUAGCAUAACAAUGCCAUAUAGAAAUUUCUACCCCCAUCCACUACACACCAACUCUGUCCAACUAAUUACACUAAAUAGGGUUACAAGAACCCAUCCAUCCACCAUACUGUAAUGUGGUCGUAUGCCACUAAGAUAAUAUGCAGCUGUGCUGCCAGAAAUAUAUUGCGGGUAUACCGCCAAAAUAGUGCAAUUAGACUGCCAAAAUCAAACUUCCUGUGACACAUAUUCAUAUCCCACCCCAAUGUGUAUGUAAAAAAAAACAUACCAUGGUAUCAUGCUUAAACAUCAUAACAUGCCACAUGGUUUCAUAUCAAAUCAGAUAUAAGUGAUAAAUAUAUACGAGAUGUAGAACAAUAUAUAUUAUAAUUUUCUCAGAGUUUAACUGAUCAUAGACAAAAUUAUACUAAUACGCGAAUGCACAGAUUUUCAUGGCCUAGCAUGCUUAUAGAAUAUUUACAAAUUAGUUUUCAAAAUUUUCAUAUCCAACUCGUAAACGGCCCAAUUUAACAUUUUGAGUUGGCCCACACAACCCACCAGUCCAAACCAUUUAGCCCACACGCCCUACCUAUCCAGGCUGUAUGGCUCACACGGUCGUGUGACAACUAUAACCACCUUCGAUUUUUCAUGCACUUUUCAGUUUUCUAUGAAUUUCCAAAGUUAUUUUGGGUUGGAACACGCACCUGGUUACUAUAGGAAUGUCGGCACCACAACAACAACUAAUUUUGCAUACGACAUUCACAACUAGACCACUUAAUACGAAUAUCUCAAAAAUCAAAACCAAUACUCAACCCCUAAUACAAAAACAAGUAUUUAGCCCUCACCCAAAGCAAAAGAGUUUUCCACAACACCUAAAUCUUCAGAUGAUUAAGUGCUUCAUGAACUUCACCUAAACAAAAUUACAGAAAUUAGUCCAUCACAACCUUGUCGAUCCGAUCUUAAUCAAGUAAUAACUCUCAACUCCACAUAAAACCACCUUCUAUAAAAAAAUUAUAUUUACGAAACAUAGCGAUAACAAACCGACCUUUAAAACCUCCAGCCAAUAAAGAACGGAGAACUAGUGACGACAUUAGAAAAAUUCAAUGUCUGGAUAGAAGCAGAAUGGUAUAGAAGAUGGACGAAAGAGAGGAACAUGGUUGAUAACAGGAAGAUGGGAAAAAUAGCACAAAAGAAAAGAGUAAGAAGUAGAGAGGAAAGGCGGUAAAGAAAAAUUCUAGUAGCAAAAAUGGAAGAAACAAACAAAAUUGAAAACGUGAGAAGUGGGAAAAAUAGGACAACAACUUAGGGACUAGUUUUAGGAAUAUUUUUCUUUUUUUUUAAGAAAUAAUCAAAUAAAAUAAUAAUCUAACCAAAUCCCAUUAAAAUUUGACUUUUUACUAUCUAUCAGAUUGCUAGGAGUUUGAUUUUAAUCCCAUACUUUGUUUUUUCUUUGGAUGACACAACAAGAGAGAAACAAAAAUAAGUUUCGAUUUGAGCACUACAAGAUUUAAACUCAGGUUGUAAAGGGGAAGGAGAAUGAUUAACUAUUGAACCAAUAGACUCAUUCUUGUCAGCAAACUAACAAAAAUAAAGUAUAUCCUACUUGUGGACAGCCAAGUAUAGGUAUAAAAACAAUAAAAAUCCAAGAAAGGGGAUUCAAACACAGAACCUCAAGUACACGUAACUAACAUUUAGCCAUUGCAACAUAUUUAUUUACUUGACACAACUAUAAACCCAGAAACUAAAGGAUUUUAGGGCUUUACAUUAUCCAUUAGUUUUAAGGAUGAAAUGCAGUACUGAAAUUCAAUCAAGUAACUAAAGUUUCAUGUAACUUCUCCUAAAAUCUUGAAGUAAAUCUUGGAUCUCUAUCGGAAAUUAUAGAUAUUAGCAGUCCACGAAGUCUCAAUAUCUCAUCUAUAUACAAUUAUGCAUAUCUUUUCAUUGCAUAAUUUAUUCAAAUAGGGAGAAAACAAGCAGAAUUUGUCAAUUUGUCUAUUAUCACCCAAAUAGCAUAUUUCUUUUUUGGUGUGAGUGGUAACCUAACCACGAAAUCCAUUGUAAUUCUCUCACACUUAUUUCCAUCUUCAACUUAUUUCUUGACCGAUAUUAUAUUUAUACCCUCCCUUUGUGCAUUUUUCACCUCUUGUAACAAAAUUGGUUUCACUUUUAACUUAGCUAGGAACACUCUACUUCGCUCCAACUUCAAAUGUGCAUUCAUUGCCUUUAAAGCUAUCAAUGACUUGCUACUCAACGCAUCAGCCACCACAUUCGCUUUUCUCAAAUAGUAAUCAAUGAUGCAAUAAUAAUCGUUGAAUACUUUAAUCCAUCUUCUUUGUCUCAAAUUUAACUCUUUUUUAGUUAAAUACUUCAAAAUUUUAUGAUAUGUAAAAAUAUAACAUUUUUCUCCAUAAAGAUAAUGUACUCAAAUCUUCAAAGCAAACACUACAACUGCUAACUCUAAAUUGUGUGUGGGGUAAUUUCUUUCCCAUGGUUUCAAUUUUAUAGAAGCAUAUGCACCACAUUUCAAUCUUGUAUUAACACGCAUCCCAAUUCAUUGUGGGGGUAAUUUCUCGAGCUUGUAUUUGUUACAGGCUCAGAUUUUCUUAAUCUCGAAAUGUUACAGGCUCGGAUUGAUACAAACGGGCUUUCGUGCUUCAGACUGUUUUGCCAACUCUAUUCUAAUUCCCACACGUAGCCGUCGACAAACUCUGCUCCUUAACCAACCAUCAUUGAUCAAUCUUUCCUUAGAUUAUCAGUUUUCUUUUCUUAUUUUUUGACUUGAAAUUUCCAGGUUAUCAUUCAAUUUAUAAAUCCGUUCUUCCUUUUUCUUCAAAGCUCGGAAAUCCUUUAAAUAUCAUCUUGAAGGCUUUUGAUUAAAAAAGCUAAUGUGGUGGUGAAUUCCGUAAUAAAUAUUUUUAAUUUAUUCUCAAUAUUAUAGUCUUUUCAUUUUUCUCAUCACAUCAUUUUAAUCCAAACUUCUUGAGAAAUUGUAAUAAAAUAAUGUAUAAAUGAAAUAUAAUUUCUACCGUUGAGUGAUUAUCAAAUGAAACAUUGAUUUUCCAUUUCAUCAUCACAUUCAAAACAUGAAUUCAGUUUAUAUUAAAAUGUUCGAAGUAAUUUAUUAAAUGAAUUUAUUAUAUAAAAUAAUGUUUUUUUUCAUACUCGCUUAAUAGGUUUUGUCCUGAUUAAUUUGAGGUUGAAACUUAAAAAUCAUAUUGCUGAAUUUAUUGAAAAAUAUGGAUUUUUUUCCCAAAAAUACAAAGUUUUAUUUAAAAUGAGAACUCGUAAUUGAAUUUUUUUUAAUUAGGUGCGAUUAACCACCUAUAAAAUCAAGAACAAAGUUAAAAAAAAUUUGUAGGGAAGCGAAAUUAAAUUAUAUAUUUUUACGAUAGUAAAAAUAUAAUUUUAUCAUUUUAAUAGCCUAUAUUUUUAUCAUUUUGAAGUGUCAAAGUGUAAUUUUAUCAUUAGUACUAAUUUAAAAUUUUAAGGAGUUCGAGAAUUAAUUAUGCAGUAAGAAAGUCAGAACAUUGUUAAGCAAACAUUGUCUUAAUUUUUAAAACUAAGUUAAAAUUUGGUAUUUAAAUGUGAUCCACAAAACAAAAUUUUAUUUAUGUACAUCUUUUUAGAGUAAACCAUAUUUUAUUCAAAAGAAAAAAUAUCUUUGAAAAUCUUCAAUUAAUACCGAAAUAUAUUUUAUUUAAAAGAUAAACAAAAUUCAAAUUACUCGAAUUAAAAACCACAUUCCAUUUUUAAUAAAGAUAAAUGAAAUUUAACAUAAUUAUGAAUUCACAAUUCAAUUUAAAGGAAGAUGUUGUCUAAUUUAGUCUCCACGAUGUUAAUAUUUUCUAUCAUACAUGAUUUUGAUUAGUAUAAUAAUAAAUUUAGCCUUCAAAAUUUACACAUCCUAUUAAUUUAGUACUAAUUUAAUAAAUUUAUCUCGUAACAUUUGUAUACAUGUGUAAAUGCUUAAGCUAAAUUUAUUGAUUUUUUAAUUAAGGCCAAAAUGAGAAAAUAUGUAAAUAUUGAAGGUUGAAUUUGUUAUUAUACCAAUAAAAAUUACGCACCAUCAAUGAAAAACAUUAAAUCGUGAUUAAAUUAUGUUUAAUUGAUGAAUUUAAAUUACUUUAAUUAUUUUUAAGGAUGAAUUUGGAAAUUGGAAAACGAAUCCUAUAAUAUCUAACAUAACCAAUCAUAAAAUGCAUGGAAAUAUAAUAACACGUAUGCUUCCACCGAAGUCUACCAAAUCUUGGCUUUUUCUCAACCAACCAUGCAACGUCCCACCAAUCACUUCCUUUUCUUAGUGCUUUUUUUAAAUAUUGUUUUAACUCACGUUUUUUUAAUUUCACCUUUUCUUCUUAUUAAUACUGAUCUCUACUUUACAUAUUUUAAGGUAAUAUAUAUGGGGAGUAAUUUUAUACAGUAAUAUUUUUUAUGUAAAUUAAAAUUUAAGUAAACUAAAACUAUGUUUAAUAUAAAAAAGGAAUUAUUUUUCAUUUCUAAUUUUUUGAAAAGAAAAAUAGAAUUUUAUUGAAAAUUACAACAAAGAAUUAAAUCAGUGGGGUGGAUUGUAAAUGUUAUUAUUCUUUCAAUAAAACAUGAUAUCCAUAAAUAAAUAUUUGGAUUUUUUAAAAAUAUUUUAUUCAUUUGAAAUCGACAAUUGUUUUUGUUAGUAGAAGAUGCCAAGACGAUGGGUGAAAAUAAAGCUACAAGAGAUGCAAGCAUUUGUAGGCUAUAAAAAAGGAGCAAAGUAGUGAAUGCAUUUUAUCAUUAGAUUUGGAAAUGGAGCUCCUGAACCUAACCAAACUUUCCAUCAAUCUUUUGUUUUCAUCUCUGAUUCUCCUUUUCUCCUUGUUAAUUUGGCUUAAACUAGCAAAAAGGAAAACCCUGAAUUUGCCUCCAUCACCUCCAAUGCUACCACUUAUUGGCAACAUCCAUCAGCUUGGCAAACUUCCCCACCGUUCUCUCCGGGACCUCUCUAGGAAAUAUGGUUCUCUCCUACUUCUACAAUUGGGGUAUAACCCAACUGUAGUGGUUUCAUCAGCCGACAUUGUUAGAGAAAUUGUGCAGAACCAUGACAGUGUUUUCUCCAACAGACCAAGGACCACAGCUAUAGAUAUCUUGUUCUACGGAGCCGGCGAUAUGGCUUUUGCACCCAACAAUAAGUUCUGGAAACAAGUUAGGAAGAUCAGUGUUGUUGAGCUUUUUAGCCACCAAAGCUUGCACUCAUUUCAGUUUGUCAGAGAUGAACAAGUUGAACUUCUUAUCAACAAAAUCCGCAGUGCUUGUCUGAAAGGAGAGUCUAUAAAUAUGACAGACAUGCUUAUGUUCGUUUCGAGUAACAUAGUUUCUCGAUGUAUUCUUAGUCACACAACUGAAGAAGAAGAUGGGUGCACCAAGUUUGGGGAGUUAGCUAAAAUGUUGUCGAUUCUCUUCACUAGUUCCUGUAUUGGCGAUAUGUUUCCUUACUUGAGGUGGGUUGAUGUGCUUACUGGAUGUAUUCCAAGUAUGAAAGCAGUCUCUGCGGAAUUGGAUGCAUUCCUUGAUCAAGUAAUUCAGGAGCAUAAAGUUUUUGAAACUGAUCACCAAGUUUCCAAUAAAAAGGACUUUGUAUCUAUCCUUAUGCAACUCCAAAAGGAUGGCAUGUAUGAGAUGGACCUCACUCAAGACAACAUCAAAGCUAUCUUACUGGUUACUAUUCAACAUUGUUUUCGUUCUUUUUCUUUUUGUCCUUUUCUGUGCCUUGAUUUAAUCUGAAGUGUUUACUUUUGAUAAUCUCAGGACAUGUUUGUAGCAGGAAGUGAUAAUUCUACAGCCACAAAAGAGUGGAUGAUGGUUGAGCUUUUAAAGCAUCCAAAUGCAAUGAAAAAGGUCCAAGAAGAGGUGAGAAAUGUGGUGGGAAACAAGUUAAGGGUGGAUGCGGAAGAUGUAAGUAAAAUGAAAUACUUAAAGUGUGUACUCAAAGAAACUUUAAGACUACAUCCGGCUGGUUCUCUUCUGCUCCCUCGACAAACAUCUUCAAGUGUUAAAUUGGGAGGUUAUGACAUUCCUUCCGAUACCACAGUCCUGAUCAAUGCAUGGGCCAUUCAGAGAGAUCCAAAAUGGUGGGAAAAUCCAGAAGAUUUCAUCCCAGAGAGGUUCGAGAACAGCUCCAUUGAUUUCAAAGGUCAAGAUUUCCAGCUCAUCCCAUUUGGUUUCGGAAGAAGGAGAUGUCCUGGGAUACCAUUUGCAGUUGCUGCUAUUGAGUAUGUGAUGGCCAACCUUCUCUAUUGGUUUGAUUGGAAGUUACCUGCUGGUGAAAUUGCUGAGAACUUGGACAUGACUGAACUCUUCGGCCUCACAGUCACCAAGAAAACCCCUCUUCAUCUUCUACCUCUAUCUCAUUUCUCUUUUUAGAUAUAUAUAUAUAUGUGUGUGUGCGCGCGCGCGCGCGAGCGCUACGAUUUUAGGCUUUUAUCACUUUCUUUUCUUUGGAGAAGAUAAUAUUGCUAUCGUUGGCUCUUGUUGUUGGACUGAUAUUGCUCAAGAAAUUCAUAUCGUGCUAGUAAUCAGUUUCAAUAGUACAAGUAAAAUUAUACAAAUUCGUACGAUGUGAAAUGAAAGAUAAAACUUUUGUUUUG